GUGUGUGCACUGUGGGGGAUGGACAGGGAGAAGGGGUCGCUCUUACCUCGCCCAAGAUUGAAGGAGAUCCUGGCCUCUGCGAGGCAGUAGAUGGUACGACCCCGUUGUCACAGGCGAAUGAUGGACCCUGGGUCUCAACCGCUUCUUAAAUGGAGAUCAACAGGAUCUGCUGAUGCUAAAGAGAGGCCUGGCUCUGCGAUCACCCGAGGGUGAGCGACCAACAGGACCUCUGUACCUCUCGCUGAAAAUGAUGUGGGAUUCAGAGAUUGAUGACUGGACCUAAGAAAAAAAUGCCCUUUCAUGGAAACAAAUGUAAAACCACAAACCUGAGGAUGUGAACACACCAAAACAGAAUGUACAUUUUAAGCAGAAGAGAGAUGCAGAAUACUUCCCAAGAAAGGGAUUACUGGGGAAAAAAAAUCUUUGGAGGCAUAAAAGGAUGAAAGGCAAGCAGCAUGCUGGGAUACAUCAAUAAAAGGGCAGCAUACCAAUCAAAAGACAUGAUGCUACUGGACAAGGCAUUUGUACAUCUCAAAAUAAUGUAUUCAGACACUUUAAAUAAAACCAGAA
Chelonia mydas (Green sea turtle) is the source of this 570-nucleotide long non-coding RNA. RefSeq lists it as uncharacterized. The transcript has 3 exons. The record is from RefSeq and is a predicted model, not a curated record. NCBI's taxonomy places the organism in Eukaryota, Metazoa, Chordata, Testudines, Cheloniidae.